AACGCGAAGAACCUUACCAGGUCUUGACAUCCUCUGACAAUCUGAGAGAUCAGACUUUCCCUUCGGGGACAGAGAGACAGGUGGUGCAUGGUUGUCGUCAGCUCGUGUCGUGAGAUGUUGGGUUAAGUCCCGCAACGAGCGCAACCCCUGUGGUUAGUUGCCAUCAUUCAGUUGGGCACUCUAAGCAGACUGCCGUGGAUAACACGGAGGAAGGUGGGGACGACGUCAAAUCAUCAUGCCCCUUAUGACCUGGGCUACACACGUGCUACAAUGGUCUGAACAGAGGGCUGCGAAACCGCGAGGUGAAGCUAAUCCCUUAAAACAGAUCUCAGUUCGGAUUGCAGGCUGCAACUCGCCUGCAUGAAGUUGGAGUUGCUAGUAAUCGCAGAUCAGAAUGCUGCGGUGAAUGCGUUCCCGGGUCUUGUACACACCG
This 433-nucleotide ribosomal RNA is filed under the name uncultured bacterium. RNAcentral's name for it is "bacterial SSU rRNA". It matches the Rfam family "Bacterial small subunit ribosomal RNA", at positions 958 to 1392 of the family's 1533-position model. The record is from RNAcentral.